Molecule: long non-coding RNA, 106 nt
Organism: Chiroxiphia lanceolata (lance-tailed manakin)
Lineage: Eukaryota; Metazoa; Chordata; Aves; Passeriformes; Pipridae
Exons: 3
Source: RefSeq, a predicted model, not a curated record
GGCUCCCCAAAGAAGUGGUCACUGCACCAAGCCUAUCUGAGUUCAAGAAGUGUUUGUACAGUGCUCUCAGGCACAGGAUGUGAUUCUUGGGGAUCGGAAGAGAGUC